This 497-nucleotide ribosomal RNA is filed under the name uncultured bacterium. RNAcentral describes it as "partial 16S ribosomal RNA". It matches the Rfam family "Bacterial small subunit ribosomal RNA", at positions 28 to 507 of the family's 1533-position model. The record is from RNAcentral.
GAUGAACGCUGGCGGCGUGCCUAAUACAUGCAAGUCGAGCGAACAGACGAGGAGCUUGCUCCUCUGACGUUAGCGGCGGACGGGUGAGUAACACGUGGAUAACCUACCUAUAAGACUGGGAUAACUUCGGGAAACCGGAGCUAAUACCGGAUAAUAUAUUGAACCGCAUGGUUCAAUAGUGAAAGACGGUUUUGCUGUCACUUAUAGAUGGAUCCGCGCCGCAUUAGCUAGUUGGUAAGGUAACGGCUUACCAAGGCGACGAUGCGUAGCCGACCUGAGAGGGUGAUCGGCCACACUGGAACUGAGACACGGUCCAGACUCCUACGGGAGGCAGCAGUAGGGAAUCUUCCGCAAAGGGCGAAAGCCUGUCGGAGCAACGCCGCGUGAGUGAUGAAGGUCUUCGGAUCGUAAAACUCUGUUAUUAGGGAAGAACAAAUGUGUAAGUAACUAUGCACGUCUUGACGGUACCUAAUCAGAAAGCCACGGCUAACUACGUG